Molecule: long non-coding RNA, 713 nt
Filed under: Manihot esculenta (cassava)
Lineage: Eukaryota; Viridiplantae; Streptophyta; Magnoliopsida; Malpighiales; Euphorbiaceae
Description: long non-coding RNA (MESC_LNC012794)
Source: RNAcentral
UACCAUACAGUCACUACAGAGAUAGAAAGACUACCAUGCACCAAGCCUAGCGCAUCAUAACAACAUUAGCUCAAUCAUACAUAACAUAAAAGGAUCAUGUGCAAAGGGAUAACAAACACUAGGGCCAAGCACAAUACUAUAACUCACUAUAUAACUUGCUAUACAUCAUGUCUAUACAUUACAUAAACUCUGUACUGUACAUCAUUAUCAUGUCCACUAUUCUAUACUAUUACAUAUGCCUUUACCCUUGCUUUCUCUUUCUCUUUCUCUUCUCUGAGGCCCUGAAAAAUGGGGUUAGGGAGAGGGAUGAGCUGCUAAAGCCCAGUGAGCGGAAUCUAUAAAAAAUCACAUUUAAAACAUGCUAUCAUAUGAUGCAUCACUGCACAAACAUUUCACAUCUCGGAUUGGACAUGAUCCCAAAACUCCCUCUGUCAGUGCCCGGCCCCCAAAGGAGCUCACACAGGUCUUUCACUAACUACUCAUGGUGCCCGACCCUAUAAGGGCUCUCACAGGACUCAUCCAAGGUAAAUGCCCGGCCCCAAAGGAGCUCACACAGGACAUACAAUAAUGACAGACUUAUGGGCUAUUGAGAUCGCCUCGGUCCAAUCCACAUAUACAAGUAAUAAUGCAAUGCAUCAACUUGGUGAAUACUAAUGCAAAGCAUCCUACAUAAGCAUGGCAUUAAUGAUGCAUGACUCAUGCUAAAACAGUUC